This 425-nucleotide ribosomal RNA is filed under the name uncultured bacterium. RNAcentral describes it as "partial 16S ribosomal RNA". It matches the Rfam family "Bacterial small subunit ribosomal RNA", at positions 354 to 796 of the family's 1533-position model. The record is from RNAcentral.
GUGGGGAAUAUUGGACAAUGGGCGCAAGCCUGAUCCAGCCAUGCCGCGUGAGUGAUGAAGGCCUUAGGGUUGUAAAGCUCUUUCAGUGGGGACGAUAAUGACGGUACCCACAGAAGAAGCCCCGGCUAACUUCGUGCCAGCAGCCGCGGUAAUACGAAGGGGGCUAGCGUUGUUCGGAUUUACUGGGCGUAAAGCGCACGUAGGCGGAUCGUUAAGUCGGGGGUGAAAUCCUGGAGCUCAACUCCAGAACUGCCUUCGAUACUGGCGAUCUUGAGGCCGGAAGAGGUGAGUGGAACUCCUAGUGUAGAGGUUGAAGUCGUAGAUAUUAGGAAGAACACCAGUAGCGAAGGCGGCUUACUGGUCCAUUACUGACGCUGAGGUGCGAAAGCGUGGGGAGCAAACAGGAUUAGAAACCCUGGUAGUCC